Long non-coding RNA from Leopardus geoffroyi (Geoffroy's cat), 4582 nucleotides. RefSeq lists it as uncharacterized. NCBI's taxonomy places the organism in Eukaryota, Metazoa, Chordata, Mammalia, Carnivora, Felidae. The record is from RefSeq and is a predicted model, not a curated record. The transcript is spliced from 3 exons.
GCGGUCAGGGUUGGGGGCGGGGACUCGGGAGGGGGUGUGGCCGGGGAUUGGAGGUGCGGAUGCGGGCCUGGGGAUGGGGGGACUAGAGGGGCGGCCGGAGGACCCGGGUGCAGAUCCGGGCUUGAUGGACGUGGAUGAGAUGCGGGGAUGCAGACCCGGGCCUGGGGGACGCGGAGGUGGGGGGCAGACUUCGGCUGGCGCGGAUCCGGGCCGGGGGUGAGGGGUCCAGACCCCGAGAGGAGGGCCAGAGCCAGGGGCGGCCGGGAGGGAGGCGGGGGUGCGGCCCUAGCCCGUGCGAGGUGGUGCGGAGCCAGAGCUGAGUGCGGAGCACUGGGGUAGGGGGUGGAGGACAUCGGAACGGAGCAUCCCCUCCUCCUCAGUCGUCUUCUUCGGCUCCUCCUCCCGCCUGGGGUCGGGACCCCCUAGCAGGUCCGCCUGCCGGGCUCUCGCUCCGCCGCCCUCCGGGCACUGAAACUACCAGGGCGCGGACAGGCCUUGGGGAGAACUUGACUGGGCUUUUCGUUUAUGGGAAACACUCCCCAGGCAAACGCUCAGACAGGCCCGCGAGAGGACGUGAUGAGUGUAGGGAGGUGACAUCACAGCCUUGCCCCACCAGAGCCCCACCAUCCCUCAAUGGUUCACCCGGGGGAAGGGGUACAGACACCUGAAGGUUGUGUAAGAUGAUGAGCAGGGCCUCGCACCUCAGUGGCCCCCCAGCCUCAAAUCCCCGCCCCUCUCCCUCCCGCGCACGGAGGGACCUAAGAGGAGACGGAAGGAGCCAAGAAGGGAAGAUCCCCAUCCAGCCUUUCUUUGAGCCAGCGAGCGAGCUCAGCGGCAGGCAGGGGCGGGCCUCGGCUUCCCGCCCCUCCCCUCCUGCCCCAUGCCUGCGCCCGAACGCUGCCCCUCUUCCAAAACCCUCAUCAUAAAGAGUAAUCACUGUUAGGAAAGAAAAAUUACAAAAAGGGGGAACAGAGAAAGCAUCCUCUCCCCUCCCAGGGGAAAAAAAAAAAAAAAAAAAAAAAAGGAAGCAAAGGAAAUACCAAUAGAUACUGACCGUUAUUUCUAGCUUUUGGUCAUUGGCUAAUAAAAGAAAACGCUUAUUCCGAGUGAACUAUCCCCCCAAAUAAGGGCAGGAGACUCCUCAGAGCUGUCUCCUUCAACCCCAGGGAUGUUAUUGUUGGUCGUGCCUGUGUUGGAUUUACUCUUGAUUUCUUUCUCUCUUUCCCACUUACUUAAAAACCCAACUUUUCCAAAGUAAGAGAAUGCCAACAUCGUGAGCCUUGCUUACCCAUCUUGACUUGGAGUCAACCAGAAUCCUGACUCGAGUUGCAGAACGAUUGGUCGGGCACCUUUUGCUUAUUACUUGAGACCUCCCCCCUGCAAUCAAGAUAUUGAAGUGAAAAAGAAAAAAGGAUGGGGAAGGAAUUGUAAAGGGAGAGAAAAUCACAGAGAACAUCUCAGCACCUUUCUCGAAGAUGGAAAGCUGAUCGUAGAGAGUUUCCGGAUGGAACAGGAAGAGAAAUUACAGCCUACAGAAGGAAACGGGAGUCGGUGUCUGACAGUGAGGCCCUGGGACUCUGUCAGCAGAUGUGAACGCAGCUGGGAGCGAGAAGUAGGGGGACGAGCCAGAAGACUGGUGGAAGGUCUUCGUGUGGACAAGGCUUCGUCCUCCGGCCUCACCCAGUUCACGCGUAAGGAAAAACGGAUCGGGUCCCUGGCGAAGAGCUCUGCUGCCGUGUAAGAAACACUCUCUUCCCGGUGAGUUUUUACCUGGAAUGGGGAGCUCUGGUUGGGGUGUGGUCGUUACCGAUGGGCACGCUAGAGCUGGGCUACUCCAGGUUCAGGCACCCACACCUGGCCCGUACUUGACUCUAGGCUUCAUUAGAGUUAUUUUCCAUCCUGAGGACGUUGUGUGGCAGGGGUGGGGAGAGGGGGGAGGACGGCGGUGGGGUGCGGACAGGGAAGCCUGUGCAGAUGUGGACUUGUGGGUUCCAGGCCCGCGUCGGGCUCUGUGCUGACAGCUCAGAUUCUGGAGCCUGCUUGGGAUGCUGUGUCUCCCUCUCUCUCUCUCUGCCCCUCCCCAGCUCGCACUCUGUCUCUCUCAAAAAUAAACAUUAAAAAAUUUUUUAAAAAAUCCACAAAACAAACCAUGAAAUGUCCAACUUUAAGUUCAAACAUCCCCACGGGGAACGGCGACUCUGCAGUGUGGAAACUGCUGUUAGGCUGGUCCCCUCUGCACAGAACCAGCCCGUGGCCCCAGAGAGCUGGGAAGAUGCGUCCAUUCCUGCUUCUCCUGGGAGGCCUGAGAAUUUUCCAGUGAACUCAGCAGCGAAAGGAACAGAAGUCUCCAGUUAAAGCUCGGGUUAAAUAUUAAGUUUGCUCGGCCCUUUCAUUCACAGUGUUUUAACUUGUACGUGGUAUUGAAGUCCCGGCCCGUGAAUUGUUUGCACAGGUCCUCCUGCUGGGAAGGACCUCCCGUCCUGUGGAAUUCAAUCAACCAUCACCCAGGGGGCACAGCUGGCACUUCCUGGUCCCUUUACAGACCUUGGUUCCUUAAAGGAGCCUCUCGGCACCCUCCUUCCUCUGUUUUAUGGACGGCAAAGCCGCGGCUCAGAGGGGCAGUGGACUUGCCUAAGGUCUUGAAGCUAGGAAGUCACAACGGUGGGACUCGAGCCCAAAUCCGUCGAGUUCCCAUGGUCUUUUUGUUAUGCUGGCUCCACCCAAAUAUCGAGAAAAUCAGCAGAAUAGACAAACUGACCUCCGUGUAAGGAAUGACCACCCUGGUACCCAGAGUUACCGUGUAGGUACGGGUGACCAACCGUCUCCGUUUGCCCAGGACCGAGCGUAUUCCUGGGUUGUGGGACUUCCGACCCAUGAGUUGGUCACCCCACACGUAGGGUUGUACAGAUUAUUUACUGAACAAAAGCACCUGAGCCAGGAGCAGGAAGAGGCUGCCAUUCAGCCAUGCUCCAUGCACCCAGCUGUCCCCUGUGCAUCAGGGCUGUGUCUCCUCCCCCUCAAGGAAGGUGCAGUGUGGACUAGCAGAGGCCCAAGGGCAGCCUGUCUCAAGAUGAGCCACACUGGCAUGGGGAUUAUUUUGAGCUGAAGGCAAUUGAGACCCUACAGGCUCAAGAGAAACGUUUGCCCCUCUUUCAACUACAUAAAAGAAUCUAAAUCAGAGGAUCUUUCCAGAAAUAAGGGUUAUUACCAGAGAUAAGUUUUAUCUUGAGUGACCCAUCUGUAUGGCAGGGCAAAUGUUGGUUUUCCAAACACGUACUCCUUUUCAUCUUCCUGUGAAUUACAUUCUUUCCCUUUGAAGUCUGAGACCCCUACCCCCUUCUCCUUAGUUCAGAAUGGCAUAGGUACCUCAUUUUACCUGUCUUUGGAAUUUCGACGUCUGUGUGGAUUCCCUGUACGUAUGCUAUUCAAUCUGCUUUCCUCCUGCUAUUGAUUCUUAGUCCAGCUAGAAUGACCCUUGAAGGGGACAGGAAUUCUUGCUUCCUGAUGCUGGCUACGGUCCCACCAAUUCCUCUGACAUUACUAACCCAGAAGUUUAAGCAGAUGAGUAAUCAAGGAAUGCACUUUCCAUCUUGGAAUGGGGUGGUCCAUCUUGGAAUCGCCAGCCAAUGACUCGUGAGCAAAAUCGAAUGCGUCGCUUCUGGACUACGGCCAUCAGUUCUGCUGAAAGUUCUCAAAUGGUCUUCCUCUGUGCCACAGUGAGGGCAACGUUCAAGAUGGCGGCAGCUCUGUCCCAGGGGUCCUGUCACUGAACAGAUCCCCUGGCUAACGUGUGAUCGACAUGGAGCCUAGGUAAGAACUAAAUACUUGCUGUUAAAAGCCAGUUCUCCUUGGGGAGCGUUUCUCACUGUGGCAUAACCCAGCCUCGCUGCGCUCCAUGGCGAAGAAGCUUACACUUGAUUCUGUGAACUACAUGUGGGGCUCUGGAGGGGAGUGUAGUCAGGCUUGCAGUUUCCAAAGACCACUCUACUCUAUCUCAUUGGGGUUGUCAAACAUAAAUAAGUUUAAUAACAGGGCUUGAAUAUAUUCUUAUGUAUAUUCUUCAAUAUAUUCUUAGAAACUACGAUUUUUUUUUUUAACUUUGAUCUUUAUUUUUGGUAAACGUUACUUUAAUGGUAGUUGUGAUGGUUGGCUCUAUGUGUCAACUUCACGGAGCUAAGGGAUGCCCAAACAGCGGGUGAAACAUCAUUUCUGGGAGCGUCUGGGAGAGUGUUUCCAGAAGACAUUAGCAUUUGAAUCGGCAGAUCGGGUAAAGAGAUGUCUUCACCUGUGUGGCUGAAGGUUCUGAUCAGAACAGAAAGGAGGAAGGGUGAGUUCUCACUCUCAGCUUGGGGACCCCAUCUUCUCCUGCCCUUGGACAUUGGCGCUCUCCGCUCUCAAGCCUUUCGGACUCAGACUGAAUUGUGCCACCAGCGUUCCGGGAUCUCCAGCUUGCAGAUGAGAGAUGGUGGGCCUUCUCAACCUCUACCGUCAUGUAAGCAACUCCUGUGAUAAGCCUCCUCUUACAUAUACGUCACUCUAUAUAUCCUAUGGGUUCUGUUUCUCCGGAGAACCCUGGCUAAUA